RNAcentral lists this ribosomal RNA (510 nucleotides) under uncultured bacterium. Its description in RNAcentral is "partial 16S ribosomal RNA". It matches the Rfam family "Bacterial small subunit ribosomal RNA", at positions 28 to 507 of the family's 1533-position model. The record is from RNAcentral.
GACGAACGCUGGCGGCGUGCUUAACACAUGCAAGUCGAACGAAGAGCGACGGAAGCUUGCUUCUAUCAAUCUUAGUGGCGAACGGGUGAGUAACGCGUAAUCAACCUGCCCUUCAGAGGGGGACAACAGUUGGAAACGACUGCUAAUACCGCAUACGAUCUAAUCUCGGCAUCGAGGAUGGAUGAAAGGUGGCCUCUACAUGUAAGCUAUCACUGAAGGAGGAGAUUGCGUCUGAUUAGCUAGUUGGAGGGGUAACGGCCCACCAAGGCGAUGAUCAGUAGCCGGUCUGAGAGGAUGAACGGCCACAUUGGGACUGAGACACGGCCCAGACUCCUACGGGAGGCAGCAGUGGGGAAUCUUCCGCAAUGGACGAAAGUCUGACGGAGCAACGCCGCGUGAGUGAUGACGGCCUUCGGGUUGUAAAGCUCUGUUAAUCGGGACGAAAGGCCUUCUUGCGAAUAGUGAGAAGGAUUGACGGUACCGGAAUAGAAAGCCACGGCUAACUACGUG